Molecule: ribosomal RNA, 726 nt
Filed under: uncultured marine eukaryote
Lineage: Eukaryota
Description: bacterial SSU rRNA
Rfam family: Eukaryotic small subunit ribosomal RNA
Source: RNAcentral
UGACACAGGGAGGUAGUGACAAGAAAUAACAAACUAAGUCCAUUUCGGAUUUUAGUAUUGGAAUGAGUAGAAUUUAAAUCUCUUUUCGAAAUCAAUUGGAGGGCAAGUCUGGUGCCAGCAGCCGCGGUAAUUCCAGCUCCAAUAGCGUAUAUUAAAGUUGUUGCGGUUAAAAAGCUCGUAGUUGGAUUUCUGCCGAGAAGGUUCGGUCUGCACUUUGUGCACGCAUCGAGUCCGUCUUGGCAUCCUCGUGAAAAACGUUUCUGCGCUUGAUUGCGUGGUGCGGGGUUCACGACUUUUACUUUGAGGAAAUUAGAGUGUUCACGGCAGGCUUCCGCCUUGAAUAUAUUAGCAUGGAAUAAUAAUAUAGGAUCUUGGUUCUAUUUUGUUGGUUUCUAGAGCUGAGUUAAUGAUUAAUAGGGACAAUUGGGGGCAUUCGUAUUAACGCGUCAGAGGUGGAAUUCUUGGAUUGCGUUACGACGAACUACUGCGAAAGCAUUUGCCAAGGAUGUUUUCAUUGAUCAAGAACGAAAGUAAGGGGAUCGAAGACGAUUAGAUACCGUCGUAGUCUUUACCAUAAACUAUGCCAACUAGAGAUCCGCCCUCGUUUUUUUAUGACUGGGUGGGCACCUUAUGAGAAAUCAAAGUCUUUGGGUUCCGGGGGGAGUAUGGUCGCAAGUCUGAAACUUAAAGGAAUUGACGGAAGGGCACCACCAGGAGUGGAGCCUG